CAAAAACAACGUGCUUUUGCAAAUUGUGAGUGCGUCGGUGCGUUUGGGUUGCGAAUCGCCAGUUUUUGGCCAGAAAACUCGUAUAUUCCGGGGUGCGUCGUGCUCUUGAGUGCUUCAGGGUUCGGUGGAAGGCAAAGUGCGGACGAGACUCGUCAACACAAAACUUAUGGAGAUUCCUUUGGAUUCCAGACCCGUCCCUGAAGCAAAUUAAGAUUAAAUUUACUUACGGAGGAAGGAGCACGAGGAAAAACAGUCUUGGCGUGAACAUUGGCAUGAUGAAGGGUUGCUGGUUGACAGAGGAUGACUCGUGCAUCGGCGUCGGAUUCACCUUCGGGUGGUCGUCGAGGAUCUUGUCCGUGGCCAUCGCCGCAGCCUCUGGCCCCUGCACACCCGCAGCACUGCGCAAAACACACACUUAUUUUUUGAACCGGCACGAGAGCGAGUUUAUUUAUCAGUUGAACGGGCGGUGCAGCAUGACAUGCGAUGCGGAGAACUAAAGCGAAAUUUACAAACGCGGAAAUGAUUUCUCCGAUAGGGCCGAAGAUCGAGAGCAAGAAGUAAAUAUAUAAAGCGACACUUACUACAAAACACCGCCAACUGCGACUCCCAUUAUAAUCAUCAAACUGAAAUUCAAGAACGUUCUUAUUAUUUAUGUAAGGAAAUAUUUAAAAAUCUGCUCUUACCAUGAUUCCGGUAUUCGUGAUGAUAAAAAGUGUACGUGAUGGAAAGCUGAAAAUUUUUUGUAUUAAAAUUUUUUUUAAGGAACGUUCAAAAGGUAAUAAAAGUUUUACAUUAAAUUUCCGUUUUUAAAUAAGAAAUCAACCAAAUGUAUCAAUUUUGAUCACAAGGGAGAAUGCAAACCAAAAUACUAAUUUUGAAAUCCAUCACGUUCAUUUCAAUCAAAGUGUUAACAAAAAUAAGCACAAAAUUAGUUUAUUUGUUACAUUUGAUUCAGAUCAUUGAUUAUUUUUUGAUUACUUUGGAGAUUCUUUGAAAAUAGAUCAUUUUUCGAAUUGCUGCUUCUUUAUAUCUUAAUGUCCACAGUUGCAUACUGAUUUUGAGGUCGAAAUUCUCUAAUAAAUUUUAUGUUUUAUGAAGGU
Molecule: long non-coding RNA, 1100 nt
Organism: Neocloeon triangulifer
Lineage: Eukaryota; Metazoa; Arthropoda; Insecta; Ephemeroptera; Baetidae
Exons: 3
Source: RefSeq, a predicted model, not a curated record